RNAcentral lists this transfer RNA (72 nucleotides) under Tupanvirus deep ocean. RNAcentral's name for it is "tRNA-Cys". It matches the Rfam family "tRNA". Rfam says of the family: Transfer RNA (tRNA) molecules are approximately 80 nucleotides in length. Their secondary structure includes four short double-helical elements and three loops (D, anti-codon, and T loops). Lineage: Varidnaviria; Bamfordvirae; Nucleocytoviricota; Megaviricetes; Imitervirales; Mimiviridae. The record is from RNAcentral. RNAcentral also lists the same sequence under 1 other name.
GCCCCUAUAGUUUAACGGUAGAACAUCGGUCUGCAAAACCGAGAAUCCUGAUUCGAGUUCAGGUGGGGGCUC